CGCCUGGGGAAUAGGGAGUGGAGCUAGGCACUGCAGGGCCUGGAUUCACCUCUACAACGCCAGAGGAACAUAGGAGGAGAAGAAUAAGGAUAUUUAUCCAUGGAUUUAAGAAGAAUGUCUGGAUUGGUACAUAUAAAAAAGACAGAAUCUGGCAGUGGGUUGACAGCACACCAUUUAAACCUACGUAUUGGAUGGAAGGGGAACCUAAUAACUUGAAUGACGAGGUGGCUUGUGUUGAGAUCUCACAGACGGCAUCAGACCCAUUGAAGAGUUGGAAGGAUGGACCGUGUUCUCCAAAACACUGGGUGUGUGAAAAACCAUUCACACCGUGUUA
This is a long non-coding RNA of Oncorhynchus nerka (sockeye salmon), 334 nucleotides long. RefSeq lists it as uncharacterized. The record is from RefSeq and is a predicted model, not a curated record. The transcript is spliced from 3 exons. NCBI's taxonomy places the organism in Eukaryota, Metazoa, Chordata, Actinopteri, Salmoniformes, Salmonidae.